Molecule: long non-coding RNA, 567 nt
Filed under: Trifolium pratense (red clover)
Lineage: Eukaryota; Viridiplantae; Streptophyta; Magnoliopsida; Fabales; Fabaceae
Description: long non-coding RNA (TPRA_LNC010642)
Source: RNAcentral
ACAUAGAAUAUCCCCACUGUCAGAACAAGAAAAUUGAAACUCUCAAUCACUCAAAGAAUACACCAGAACAUGUUAAAACAGUGAGGAUAGGGAAAAAUAGUAUCACGCCUAAGAUAGGAUUAAAACAAAGCAUAUGAAGCCAUAAGGACACCAACUGAGACGCCGAAUUGACGCCAAACAGCAGACAACAAGCAGAAACAACAGAUUGAUCACGCCAGAAGGCACGAUUCGGACUAGAGCUGCAUCAGACCUAGGAUUACGCCAGAAGUUCUACAAUUAUGCAGAAAAAAUUUGCAGACCCCAUGUCAAGCUUAAACCUGCAACUAACGGCUCCAAUUCUUGAAUGCCAGAGUUUCUUCAAAAUGACCAAUCAUUCACUUCAUGUGUGUAUGAUUAUUUGACAAUGACAGAUCAUUCACAUGGUGUUGAGCCUACAAAAAGAACACAUUGACAGAAUUGAUGAUUUUAUACCAAAAUAGGCAAUUAAAAAAAGAUAUGUGGCUACAAAGAUAUAGUACCUGCAACAAUUCAAAAUAAGAACCACCAUGAUUCAUGACUUGAGAAUAA